Long non-coding RNA from Equus asinus (donkey), 1550 nucleotides. Lineage: Eukaryota; Metazoa; Chordata; Mammalia; Perissodactyla; Equidae. The record is from Ensembl.
GACACGCCUCGGCGCGCGGUGAGCCUUGAACUCCGAUUUGGGGACGGCCGGGGUCGCUAGGCUGGCGGAGGUGGGGCCCCGCACUCUGAGGCUGUCCCCGCCGGGUGCCCCGACCCCCGCCACCCGCGGCACCCCACUGGACAGCACCCACAAGAGCUGCUCCUCCUCCCCCUCCCCUUCCUGGAGCGCCGGGGCUUAGGCGGGAGGAGGGACGGGCCCCCUGCACUGCCGGGCUGUAUUUGCAGUCACGCCGAGCCCACCUCGCCGGGGGGACUUGCCGCAUCACUGGCUACAGCCCUUUCUCAAAUGGGCGCCACGUCCUCGCGCGGGAAGCCCCCAACCAACACAUACGCUGCGUGCUCUUUGUAGCUGCCUGACCUCCCCAACCAGACUGUGAACCCUGACGUCAGGACUGGCGCAGGUGUGUCUGCGUCUCCCCGCAGGUCUUACCUGAGGAUGUCCCGGGGAACGGGCCUCUUCAGACAUUGCCCAGCAGCUCCCAGCUCCCAGGGCAACGCCGGUUCCCUUUGCCUGUUCAGAAUAGGCGGCUUUCCCCUGGGAAGGAAAACUGCGGGAUCGCCGUGGCACAGAGUUCUUCCGGGACUCCAGAUUCUUCAGAUUAGUCUUGCCCAUGGUUCUGGGCAAGAUGUUUCCCGCCUGAAGGCACUGGAUUGAGUCGGCCUGAAGCCCGUAGGUUGAAUUUGGGCGCUCAGAAUAGAAGAUGUGGAAACCAAUUAGGUUCUCCCCUAGAGACUUGAUUUAUGAGCCUCCUUCCUAACAGAGCAUGUGGCAGAGCUGAAGUCAAAAAUGAGAGAGAGGAACUUAAAGUUAACUCUUUAGUCUGCGGUAGAAGGUACUCAACAACAACAGAAACUAGUUCCAGCUUUCUUAGGGUUUCAGAGGAGAACCAGGGCUCUGCUGGGAAGGCCUGGAUGAGAACACCAAGAGAAGCCUGGAAGUGAGCGCCUGUCAGGGCCCUGUGACUCUGUCGGGCCAGGACCAGGAGUGGGUCCAGACCUCCCUACUUGCCUCUGUGCCUCUUCUGGUUGAAAAAGAUGAAGCCAAGAGGAAGGAAGUGCGGUGUCCUCAUGGAUGUGAGCACAUUCCGUCCUCCGUGCUCAGAUUCAGAGACCUAGAGCUGGUCUGUGGCCAGGAAAUCGGGAUUCCUGAAUGUGCUGGAUGUUUUUCUUGCCCCUCCGGAUGUACUUUCCACCCUUCUCGCCUGCCCUAUGCCCUGGCAGGCUGGCCUCUGUGGACCACAGUCAAAGGCUCCCUUGUGCCGUGGCCUGGCGUUGGGUUCAGCCUAUAGGUGACACUGGCAGGUGAAUGAGAUCCAGGACCCUAAUUGACACGCUGAGUUUUCUUUACUUCAAUUUUCCUCUCCUUGGACCCUGGAGUCAACCUCAUUCACUCUACCAACAUGGUAUCUGUAAUAUGCUGGUUAUGAGCUCAGCACCAGCGAUGCAGAGACGAGAGACGGAGGUCACAGUCAAUGACCAUCCCAGAUGAUGUGGGUUACGCUGGAGACCGUGAGCUGUUAAAUCUGAAAG